This 253-nucleotide ribosomal RNA is filed under the name uncultured bacterium. RNAcentral describes it as "partial 16S ribosomal RNA". It matches the Rfam family "Bacterial small subunit ribosomal RNA", at positions 524 to 776 of the family's 1533-position model. The record is from RNAcentral.
GACGAACCGUACAAACGUUAUUCGGUGUCACUGGGCUUAAAGGGUGCGUAGGCGGCGGAGAAAGUUAGGUGUGAAAUCCCUCGGCUCAACCGAGGAAUGGCGCUUAAAACUACUUCGCUCGAGGAAGAUAGAGGUGAGCGGAACUUACGGUGGAGCGGUGAAAUGCGUUGAGAUCGUAGGGAACACCAGUUGCGAAAGCGGCUCACUGGGUCUUUGCUGACGCUGAGGCACGAAAGCUAGGGUAGCGAACGGG